UACGAAGGGGGCUAGCGUUGUUCGGAAUACUGGGCGUAAAGCGUGCGCAGGCGGCUUCUCAAGUCAGGGGGUGAAAGCCCAGAGCUCAACUCUGGAAUUGCCUUUGAGACUGAGUGGCUUGAGUACGAGAGAGGUGAGUGGAAUUCCCAGUGUAGAGGUGAAAAUUCGUAGAUAUUGGGAAGAACACCGGUGGCGAAGGCGGCUCACUGGCUCGUAACUGACGCUCA
Molecule: ribosomal RNA, 227 nt
Filed under: uncultured bacterium
Lineage: Bacteria
Description: partial 16S ribosomal RNA
Rfam family: Bacterial small subunit ribosomal RNA
Source: RNAcentral